CAGCACCUCAAGUGGUCAGGAUGAUUAUUGGGCCUAAAGCAUCCGUAGCCGGCGCUGUAAGUUUUCGGUUAAAUCUGUACGCUCAACGUACAGGCUGCCGGGAAUACUGCAGCGCUAGGGAGUGGGAGAGGUAGACGGUACUCGGUAGGAAGAGGUAAAAUCCUUUGAUCUAUUGAUGACCACCUGUGGCGAAGGCGGUCUACCAGAACACGUCCGACGGUGAGGGAUGAAAGCUGGGGGAGCAAACCGGAUUAGAUACCCGAGUAGUCC
RNAcentral lists this ribosomal RNA (270 nucleotides) under uncultured archaeon. RNAcentral's name for it is "partial 16S ribosomal RNA". It matches the Rfam family "Archaeal small subunit ribosomal RNA", at positions 477 to 747 of the family's 1478-position model. The record is from RNAcentral.